This 492-nucleotide ribosomal RNA is filed under the name uncultured bacterium. RNAcentral describes it as "partial 16S ribosomal RNA". It matches the Rfam family "Bacterial small subunit ribosomal RNA", at positions 29 to 507 of the family's 1533-position model. The record is from RNAcentral.
AGCGAACGCUGGCGGUAGGCCUAACACAUGCAAGUCGAACGGCAGCACAGUAAGAGCUUGCUCUUACGGGUGGCGAGUGGCGGACGGGUGAGGAAUACAUCGGAAUCUACUUUUUCGUGGGGGAUAACGUAGGGAAACUUACGCUAAUACCGCAUACGACCUACGGGUGAAAGCAGGGGAUCUUCGGACCUUGCGCGAUUGAAUGAGCCGAUGUCGGAUUAGCUAGUUGGCGGGGUAAAGGCCCACCAAGGCGACGAUCCGUAGCUGGUCUGAGAGGAUGAUCAGCCACACUGGAACGGAGACACGGUCCAGACUCCUACGAGAGGAAGCAGUGGGGAAUAUUAGGCAAUGGGGGCAAGCCUGAUCCAGCCAGACCGCGUGGGUGAAGAAGGCGUUCGGGUUGUAAAGCCCUUUUGUUGGGAGAGAAAAGCAGCAGGUUAAUACCCCGCUGUUCUGACGGUACCGAGAGAAUAAGCACCGGCUAACUUCGUG